GGGGAUGUAGCUCAGUGGUAGAGCGUCCGUCGAUUUGCAUGCGGAAGGCCCGGGGUUCGAUCCCCCGCAUCUCCC
This 75-nucleotide transfer RNA is filed under the name Nematostella vectensis (starlet sea anemone). It matches the Rfam family "tRNA". From Rfam's summary of the family: Transfer RNA (tRNA) molecules are approximately 80 nucleotides in length. Their secondary structure includes four short double-helical elements and three loops (D, anti-codon, and T loops). The record is from Rfam by way of RNAcentral. Lineage: Eukaryota; Metazoa; Cnidaria; Anthozoa; Actiniaria; Edwardsiidae.